CAAUAGCGUAUAUUAAAGUUGUUGCAGUUAAAAAGCUCGUAGUUGGAUUUCUGACAAGGAUAAUCGGUCCGAACCUUCGGGUUCGUGUACUUGGUUUUUCCUAGUCAUCCUUAUAGAGAACGUGCGUGGCAUUAGGUUGUCGUGUACGGGACCUAUAUCAUUUACUGUGAAAAAUUAGAGUGUUCAAAGCAGGCAAUCGCUGUGAAUACAUUAGCAUGGAAUAAUGGAAUAGGACUACGGUCUCUUUGUUGGUUUGAGGGACUGCAGUAAUGAUUAAUAGGGAUAGUUGGGGGCAUUAGUAUUUAAUUGUCAGAGGUGGAAUUCUCGGAUUUGUUAAAGACUAACUUAUGCGAAAGCAUUUGCCAAGGAUGUUUUCAUUAAUCAAGAACGAAAGUUAGGGGAUCAAAGACGAUUA
Molecule: ribosomal RNA, 415 nt
Filed under: uncultured eukaryote
Lineage: Eukaryota
Description: bacterial SSU rRNA
Rfam family: Eukaryotic small subunit ribosomal RNA
Source: RNAcentral